CAUCAGUUGGUCCGUCCCUAAAGUCGCCACACAGGGCAGGUAGGAGCCAAACCGGUGGCCAAGCCAUUUGGGUUACAUUGUUCUUACCCCAUUGGGAUAACUCAUGAGAAGCCCCGUUACAAGUGCGAUUAGCAAAUUAAACGAAAUAGAUUGGAAACUACAAAUUAGGGAUUUGAUAUCCUAAAACAUGGAAUGUGUUCUUAGAUCUCCCAAAAAAAUCUUUCUAUUUAUCUUCUCUAUUACUUCUGCGGCAUCAGCUUCGAUUAUAAUUCGAUCCAUCUUCAUCUACUUCGCAAAUCUUAAGGCAUCUCUAAUCCCACAUAUCUCCGUUUCUUCUGCAGAACAACAAAUCAAGUUCUUCGAAACUGCGUAGAUAAAUUGAUGAGUAGGAUCUCUUAUUAAGAAACCCAAUCUCCCAAUUUGUGAAUUAAGAUUUCAAGCACCAUCUGUAUUAAUCUUCAACCAAUUUCUAAGUGGACACAUCCAAGGAGAGGGAGUUGAUUGAUUUUGUGAUAUUCAUACGAUUCGGCUGAUGAUAGAGCUUUUAAAGUUGGACCAUAUUACACAGGAAAUCAAAGGAAAUUGAUCCGCUCUUGAAGAUUGGUCUUGAUAAGGAUACAAAUGCAACCAGAAUUUCGUCCACUGUAUUAAGGGAAAAUGUAUUCAGAUAUAUGAAUUCUUUUGUGAAGAAUUUCAUUCACUGGUAGUGCCCCUUUUAGAGUCUUCCAUACAAAAAGUUGGAUUCUUACAGGCACAUUCAGUUCCCAAAUUGCACUCCAUAAAUCAGAUUCAGAAUCAUCCCCACUCACACUUAAGGUGGUAUAUGCAGACUUUAUAAUAAAGACUCCAUCUUUAGUUGGAGUCCAAAUUCUUCUGUCUAUAGAAGAUUCAGAGCUAAGAGGGAUUUUUUGAAUCAUCUCUUUUGAAGAUUGGUCAAAAACAUCACUUAAUUUUGCGGUAUCCCAUGUUCUUGUGUCAUGAUUAAUAAGAUCACUUACUUUUAAGUUCUUAUCAGGAAUUGAGUUUGCUUUUGGUGUUGCAACUCCUUUCCAGGUAUCCAAUUAUCACACCAUGGGUUAUAAAAUUUCCUUCCCCCACUACCCAUGA
Long non-coding RNA from Papaver somniferum (opium poppy), 1107 nucleotides. RefSeq lists it as uncharacterized. NCBI's taxonomy places the organism in Eukaryota, Viridiplantae, Streptophyta, Magnoliopsida, Ranunculales, Papaveraceae. The transcript is spliced from 3 exons. The record is from RefSeq and is a predicted model, not a curated record.